GCGGGUGUAGCUCAAUGGUAGAGCAUCGGUCUUCCAAACCGAGUACGAGGGUUCGAUUCCCUUCACCCGCU
RNAcentral lists this transfer RNA (71 nucleotides) under Gemmataceae bacterium. Its description in RNAcentral is "tRNA-Gly". It matches the Rfam family "tRNA". From Rfam's summary of the family: Transfer RNA (tRNA) molecules are approximately 80 nucleotides in length. Their secondary structure includes four short double-helical elements and three loops (D, anti-codon, and T loops). Further hydrogen bonds mediate the characteristic L-shaped molecular structure. tRNAs have two regions of fundamental functional importance: the anti-codon, which is responsible for specific mRNA codon recognition, and the 3' end, to which the tRNAs corresponding amino acid is attached (by aminoacyl-tRNA synthetases). tRNAs cope with the degeneracy of the genetic code in two manners: having more than one tRNA (with a specific anti-codon) for a particular amino acid; and 'wobble' base-pairing, i.e. permitting non-standard base-pairing at the 3rd anti-codon position. RNAcentral also lists the same sequence under 1 other name. The record is from RNAcentral. Lineage: Bacteria; Pseudomonadati; Planctomycetota; Planctomycetia; Gemmatales; Gemmataceae.